This 496-nucleotide ribosomal RNA is filed under the name uncultured bacterium. RNAcentral's name for it is "partial 16S ribosomal RNA". It matches the Rfam family "Bacterial small subunit ribosomal RNA", at positions 28 to 506 of the family's 1533-position model. The record is from RNAcentral.
GAUGAACGCUGGCGGCGUGCCUAAUACAUGCAAGUCGAGCGAACGGACGAGAAGCUUGCUUCUCUGAUGUUAGCGGCGGACGGGUGAGUAACACGUGGAUAACCUACCUAUAAGACUGGGAUAACUUCGGGAAACCGUAGCUAAUACCGGAUAAUAUUUUGAACCGCAUGGUUCAAAAGUGAAAGACGGUCUUGCUGUCACUUAUAGAUGGAUCCGCGCUGCAUUAGCUAGUUGGUAAGGUAACGGCUUACCAAGGCAACGAUGCAUAGCCGACCUGAGAGGGUGAUCGGCCACACUGGAACUGAGACACGGUCCAGACUCCUACGGGAGGCAGCAGUAGGGAAUCUUCCGCAAUGGGCGAAAGCCUGACGGAGCAACGCCGCGUGAGUGAUGAAGGUCUUCGGAUCGUAAAACUCUGUUAUUAGGGAAGAACAUAUGUGUAAGUAACUGUGCACAUCUUGACGGUACCUAAUCAGAAAGCCACGGCGAACUACGG